GGCGCGUGGAGUCGCUGCGGCCGACGCUCGCCGAGACCGUGCAGGUUGCCGCCGGCGGCGACGCCGCCGCGUUCGAGACGCAGGCGCGCCAC
This 92-nucleotide transfer RNA is filed under the name Burkholderia plantarii. Its description in RNAcentral is "tRNA-Leu". Lineage: Bacteria; Pseudomonadati; Pseudomonadota; Betaproteobacteria; Burkholderiales; Burkholderiaceae. The record is from RNAcentral.